GGAGUUAGCCGGUGCUUCUUCUGUGAGUGAUGUCCUUCCUGCCGGCUAUUAACCCGCAGGCCUUCUUCCUCACUGAAAGUGCUUUACAACCCGAAGGCCUUCUUCACACACGCGGCAUGGCUGGAUCAGGGUUGCCCCCAUUGUCCAAUAUUCCCCACUGCUGCCUCCCGUAGGAGUCUGGGCCGUGUCUCAGUCCCAGUGUGGCUGAUCAUCCUCUCAGACCAGCUACGGAUCGUCGCCUUGGUGAGCCGUUACCUCACCAACCAGCUAAUCCGACAUAGGCUCAUCCGAUAGCGCGAGGCCCGAAGGUCCCCCGCUUUCCCCCGUAGGGCGUAUGCGGUAUUAGCCUGGGUUUCCCCAGGUUAUCCCCCACUACCGGGGCAGAUUCCUAUGCAUUACUCACCCGUCCGCCGCUCGCCACCAGGGAGCAAGCUCCCCGUGCUGCCGCUCGACUUGCAUGUGUUAGGCCUGCCGCCAGCGUUCAAUCUGAGCCAUAAUCAAACUCUGA
RNAcentral lists this ribosomal RNA (508 nucleotides) under uncultured bacterium. RNAcentral describes it as "partial 16S ribosomal RNA". The record is from RNAcentral.